GCUUCCGUAGCUCAGUGGAUUAGAGCGCUUGCUUGCGGAGCAAUAGGUCGCAGGUUCGAAUCCUGCCGGGAGCACCA
RNAcentral lists this transfer RNA (77 nucleotides) under Anaerolineales bacterium. RNAcentral describes it as "tRNA-Arg". It matches the Rfam family "tRNA". From Rfam's summary of the family: Transfer RNA (tRNA) molecules are approximately 80 nucleotides in length. Their secondary structure includes four short double-helical elements and three loops (D, anti-codon, and T loops). Further hydrogen bonds mediate the characteristic L-shaped molecular structure. tRNAs have two regions of fundamental functional importance: the anti-codon, which is responsible for specific mRNA codon recognition, and the 3' end, to which the tRNAs corresponding amino acid is attached (by aminoacyl-tRNA synthetases). tRNAs cope with the degeneracy of the genetic code in two manners: having more than one tRNA (with a specific anti-codon) for a particular amino acid; and 'wobble' base-pairing, i.e. permitting non-standard base-pairing at the 3rd anti-codon position. RNAcentral also lists the same sequence under 1 other name. The record is from RNAcentral. Lineage: Bacteria; Bacillati; Chloroflexota; Anaerolineae; Anaerolineales.